Molecule: long non-coding RNA, 1024 nt
Filed under: Oryzias sinensis (Chinese medaka)
Lineage: Eukaryota; Metazoa; Chordata; Actinopteri; Beloniformes; Adrianichthyidae
Description: lncRNA (ENSOSIG00000015920.1)
Source: RNAcentral
CUUCCUUGUUUGUUUAGCCUGUAAAACAGCAGCGGCAGCCACAAUGACAACUGUUCCCUUGACGGUAAUUCUGACUUAUUCAGACUUUAAUGUCAAUUUAACGCUGUGUUUCUUUUUAGGCAGCACAAACCUUUGUGUUGACAAAAUGUUUGUAACACCCACAAAUGUACACAACCAUACAGCCACAUUGUUCAACAAGAAGGUUUUUUUUCUCUCUCUCAAUAAAACAGAGGAAUUUAGCUGUGAAACUUUCCAAAAAUGACACUUGUUUAAAAAAACAAAAGUGAUUGGCGCACAAACGUAGUUCUGUGUGAGCGUGGUGUCAGCUGGUCCCAGUCCCUGCAGCCCUCACCGUGCCCUGUGCAGGCCUGACGGGACGCCGACUGCAGCUCAGGACAUGGCCUCGUUUGUUCAGGGUCCCCCCUCUCUGAAAAGAGUUAUGCUGUCCGUUUUGAAUGGACAGCGUUUUUCUUUGUGUGCUCGAUCAAAACAGAGGGCAAAGUUAGUCAGCAAGUUGCAUAGCUUCUGCAUUCUGAUUCUUCAAGCCUCUUUUGUAUGACGUUUAGCACAAUGUUUUACCCUGUGUCCGACCUGAAUGGCGUGCUGGAGAAAACAAUGAAAGGAGCGGACAAAGCAAUUGUGGCAAAGUGCUUUGGAAAAUGGAAAAGCAGCUCUCUAAGGUCCAGGACCAUGGAGAAGCCGGAUGAGCCGUCCGAGGAGAGGAGGAGGAGGAGGAGGACGAAGAAGAAGAGCCUGCCCAACUACACCUGUGAAGCUCCUAAAGUCAGCGAGAAAGCACUCGAUGAUGAAUUACAGCAUCACCUCCUGAGAGAUAACCAGAGUGAAAGCAUCAGCCGGGGGCAGCACUUUGGAUCUGGCACCUUGUCCUUCAGAACUCUCAGAAAACUGCAAUCAGAGGUAUGUAUUCAGUCAGAAAAGACAAAUUAAGCUUUUGAAGUGGCCUUUUGAUAGAGCUGGGAGUACUUUUUCAUCAGAAUGAUCACAAACUUAGAGUUUGACUGAA